Long non-coding RNA from Ahaetulla prasina, 337 nucleotides. RefSeq lists it as uncharacterized. The record is from RefSeq and is a predicted model, not a curated record. Lineage: Eukaryota; Metazoa; Chordata; Lepidosauria; Squamata; Colubridae. The transcript is spliced from 2 exons.
CGCGCUGCGAAAGCGCGCACGCAUCGGCUGCCUUUGGGCCCCUUUGGAAAGCCGGGAAAAGCAAGCAUGGCCCAGGCGGAAUCCCGGCCCCUGAGGCCGCCUUCCGGCCUCCCUGCUCCCCACAGAGAGACGGAGAAAGGAAGAUAACUUUAGAUUUUCCUGGGGAAGAUGAUGUUUCGCAGAAUCAGUGUCCCAGUGGAUGGCAGAAUAAUUAAAGAUAACCAUCAGCAUUAUUUCGCACAUUUUUGAAAAUAUAAUUUGUUUUUAGAAAAUGCUAUCUAAAACUCAUAAUAAAAUGUUUCAUGGCAUUGUGGAUACCUCAGAACGUUGAUAAAAA